UGUGUUUCGACACACUAUCAUUAACUGAAUCCAUAGGUUAAUGAGGCGAACCGGGGGAACUGAAACAUCUAAGUACCCCGAGGAAAAGAAAUCAACCGAGAUUCCCCCAGUAGCGGCGAGCGAACGGGGAGCAGCCCAGAGCCUGAAUCAGUGUGUGUGUUAGUGGAAGCGUCUGGAAAGGCGCGCGAUACAGGGUGACAGCCCCGUACACAAAAAUGCACAUAUUGUGAGCUCGAUGAGUAGGGCGGGACACGUGGUAUCCUGUCUGAAUAUGGGGGGACCAUCCUCCAAGGCUAAAUACUCCUGACUGACCGAUAGUGAACCAGUACCGUGAGGGAAAGGCGAAAAGAACCCCGGCGAGGGGAGUGAAAAAGAACCUGAAACCGUGUACGUACAAGCAGUGGGAGCCUCUUUUAUGGGGUGACUGCGUACCUUUUGUAUAAUGGGUCAGCGACUUAUAUUCUGUAGCAAGGUUAACCGAAUAGGGGAGCCGAAGGGAAACCGAGUCUUAACUGGGCGUUAAGUUGCAGGGUAUAGACCCGAAACCCGGUGAUCUAGCCAUGGGCAGGUUGAAGGUUGGGUAACACUAACUGGAGGACCGAACCGACUAAUGUUGAAAAAUUAGCGGAUGACUUGUGGCUGGGGGUGAAAGGCCAAUCAAACCGGGAGAUAGCUGGUUCUCCCCGAAAGCUAUUUAGGUAGCGCCUCGUGAAUUCAUCUCCGGGGGUAGAGCACUGUUUCGGCAAGGGGGUCAUCCCGACUUACCAACCCGAUGCAAACUGCGAAUACCGGAGAAUGUUAUCACGGGAGACACACGGCGGGUGCUAACGUCCGUCGUGAAGAGGGAAACAACCCAGACCGCCAGCUAAGGUCCCAAAGUCAUGGUUAAGUGGGAAACGAUGUGGGAAGGCCCAGACAGCCAGGAUGUUGGCUUAGAAGCAGCCAUCAUUUAAAGAAAGCGUAAUAGCUCACUGGUCGAGUCGGCCUGCGCGGAAGAUGUAACGGGGCUAAACCAUGCACCGAAGCUGCGGCAGCGACACUAUGUGUUGUUGGGUAGGGGAGCGUUCUGUAAGCCUGUGAAGGUGUGCUGUGAGGCAUGCUGGAGGUAUCAGAAGUGCGAAUGCUGACAUAAGUAACGAUAAAGCGGGUGAAAAGCCCGCUCGCCGGAAGACCAAGGGUUCCUGUCCAACGUUAAUCGGGGCAGGGUGAGUCGACCCCUAAGGCGAGGCCGAAAGGCGUAGUCGAUGGGAAACAGGUUAAUAUUCCUGUACUUGGUGUUACUGCGAAGGGGGGACGGAGAAGGCUAUGUUGGCCGGGCGACGGUUGUCCCGGUUUAAGCGUGUAGGCUGGUUUUCCAGGCAAAUCCGGAAAAUCAAGGCUGAGGCGUGAUGACGAGGCACUACGGUGCUGAAGCAACAAAUGCCCUGCUUCCAGGAAAAGCCUCUAAGCAUCAGGUAACAUCAAAUCGUACCCCAAACCGACACAGGUGGUCAGGUAGAGAAUACCAAGGCGCUUGAGAGAACUCGGGUGAAGGAACUAGGCAAAAUGGUGCCGUAACUUCGGGAGAAGGCACGCUGAUAUGUAGGUGAAGCGACUUGCUCGUGGAGCUGAAAUCAGUCGAAGAUACCAGCUGGCUGCAACUGUUUAUUAAAAACACAGCACUGUGCAAACACGAAAGUGGACGUAUACGGUGUGACGCCUGCCCGGUGCCGGAAGGUUAAUUGAUGGGGUUAGCGCAAGCGAAGCUCUUGAUCGAAGCCCCGGUAAACGGCGGCCGUAACUAUAACGGUCCUAAGGUAGCGAAAUUCCUUGUCGGGUAAGUUCCGACCUGCACGAAUGGCGUAAUGAUGGCCAGGCUGUCUCCACCCGAGACUCAGUGAAAUUGAACUCGCUGUGAAGAUGCAGUGUACCCGCGGCAAGACGGAAAGACCCCGUGAACCUUUACUAUAGCUUGACACUGAACAUUGAGCCUUGAUGUGUAGGAUAGGUGGGAGGCUUUGAAGUGUGGACGCCAGUCUGCAUGGAGCCGACCUUGAAAUACCACCCUUUAAUGUUUGAUGUUCUAACGUUGACCCGUGAUCCGGGUUGCGGACAGUGUCUGGUGGGUAGUUUGACUGGGGCGGUCUCCUCCUAAAGAGUAACGGAGGAGCACGAAGGUUGGCUAAUCCUGGUCGGACAUCAGGAGGUUAGUGCAAUGGCAUAAGCCAGCUUGACUGCGAGCGUGACGGCGCGAGCAGGUGCGAAAGCAGGUCAUAGUGAUCCGGUGGUUCUGAAUGGAAGGGCCAUCGCUCAACGGAUAAAAGGUACUCCGGGGAUAACAGGCUGAUACCGCCCAAGAGUUCAUAUCGACGGCGGUGUUUGGCACCUCGAUGUCGGCUCAUCACAUCCUGGGGCUGAAGUAGGUCCCAAGGGUAUGGCUGUUCGCCAUUUAAAGUGGUACGCGAGCUGGGUUUAGAACGUCGUGAGACAGUUCGGUCCCUAUCUGCCGUGGGCGCUGGAGAACUGAGGGGGGCUGCUCCUAGUACGAGAGGACCGGAGUGGACGCAUCACUGGUGUUCGGGUUGUCAUGCCAAUGGCACUGCCCGGUAGCUAAAUGCGGAAGAGAUAAGUGCUGAAAGCAUCUAAGCACGAAACUUGCCCCGAGAUGAGUUCUCCCUGACCCUUUAAGGGUCCUGAAGGAACGUUGAAGACGACGACGUUGAUAGGCCGGGUGUGUAAGCGCAGCGAUGCGUUGAGCUAACCGGUACUAAUGAACCGUGAGG
This 2762-nucleotide ribosomal RNA is filed under the name Escherichia coli. Its description in RNAcentral is "partial 23S ribosomal RNA". It matches the Rfam family "Bacterial large subunit ribosomal RNA". Lineage: Bacteria; Pseudomonadati; Pseudomonadota; Gammaproteobacteria; Enterobacterales; Enterobacteriaceae. The record is from RNAcentral.